AAGCUUCGUGGUCUCUGUCUUGCC
RNAcentral lists this microRNA (24 nucleotides) under Bos taurus (domestic cattle). Its description in RNAcentral is "bta-miR-1843". Lineage: Eukaryota; Metazoa; Chordata; Mammalia; Artiodactyla; Bovidae. The record is from miRBase by way of RNAcentral.